Molecule: transfer RNA, 73 nt
Filed under: Stegodyphus mimosarum
Lineage: Eukaryota; Metazoa; Arthropoda; Arachnida; Araneae; Eresidae
Rfam family: tRNA
About the family: Transfer RNA (tRNA) molecules are approximately 80 nucleotides in length. Their secondary structure includes four short double-helical elements and three loops (D, anti-codon, and T loops).
Source: Rfam by way of RNAcentral
GACUGCGUGGUGUAAUGAUCAGCACACUCGACGCGUAUUCGAGAGGUCCGAGGUUCGAUUCCCGGCGUGGGCA